CGCGUACCCUCCGCGUCUCGGCCGGGCUUCCUGCCUCUCGAGCCGCGUCCACGUCCUCCCGUGGACGGGAUGGACGCGGUGGUGCCCUGCGCCCCUCCGGGCUCUCGGUUAUGAGUAUGAUGCUUCCAUAUACGUUUGGAUGUUUUCAGCUAAGUUCACUUCUGAACUGUGGGGCUCCUCCAAGUGUUGACUGAAAUCUGUCCUUGAGCAUCCCCACGCUCAUCUAAUCUACAGUCCAUAAUGGAGCCACUGUACUGGCUUUUGGAAGGAGGAGAUUCUGAAGAUAGGGAGGAAAUUUGUUGAGAGCUGGACUACAUCUCAAGAUCCCUCCAAGUCUAAAGAAGAUGCCACAAAUACCAUCAACUACAAAAUGAAAGGAAUAUGCGUCCAGUGGUGGAUUUUUGCAGACUUUAGCAGGUUCUGGAUUUUUAAUAUCCAGGCUCUACCCUUCCACCAUGCUUAUCCUUCAGGAAUGUGCUGGAC
Long non-coding RNA from Bos mutus (wild yak), 483 nucleotides. The record is from Ensembl. Lineage: Eukaryota; Metazoa; Chordata; Mammalia; Artiodactyla; Bovidae.